This 335-nucleotide ribosomal RNA is filed under the name uncultured bacterium. Its description in RNAcentral is "bacterial SSU rRNA". It matches the Rfam family "Bacterial small subunit ribosomal RNA", at positions 29 to 346 of the family's 1533-position model. The record is from RNAcentral.
AACGAACGCUGGCGGCGUGGAUUAGGCAUGCAAGUCGAACGCGAAAGAGGGGGUAACUCCUCGAGUAGAGUGGCGAACGGGUGAGUAACACGUGAGAAACCUGCCUUCAGCAGGGGGAUAACACUCCCAACGGGGUGCUAAUACCGCAUGAGACCACGGAUUCGCAUGGAUCUGGGGUCAAAGGUGGCCUCUGCUUGCAAGCUACCGGCUGAAGAUGGUCUCGCGCCCAUUAGCUAGUUGGUGGGGUAAUGGCCCACCAAGGCGACGAUGGGUAGCUGGUCUGAGAGGAUGGUCAGCCACACUGGGACUGAGAUACGGCCCAGACUCCUACGGGA